This 403-nucleotide long non-coding RNA is filed under the name Anas platyrhynchos platyrhynchos (common mallard). Its description in RNAcentral is "lncRNA (ENSAPLG00000020333.1)". The record is from RNAcentral. Lineage: Eukaryota; Metazoa; Chordata; Aves; Anseriformes; Anatidae.
ACAAUGGCUAACGAAGUCUGUGAAACUACAAUGAUCCAUAAGCAAUUUGAAAGAAGAAUAAUUGUUGCAACUUCCACAGGAAUGUUAAAAUGGCAUAAGAAUGUAAGGCAGUGAUGAAUCAGACCAAAUGCCCAUCUAAACCAGCAUCUUUUCUCUAUCAGUGGCCAUGGUGAUGCCUAAGGACAAAUAAAAAAAACAGCAAGCUUGUAUGAUAUGAUGAUUCACAAUCACAAAGUGAAUUGCUUUCAUUGCUUAAAGAUGCUCUGCUCAGGAUACAUCAUACUGAAGAUUACUCCUGCAGUCACACUGGUACCAAAAGAGGUACCUAUGCAUAGUCCCUCCUACUCCCUACUCCUUUUCUAAGGCCUGCAGGAAACUUUACACUCAGCAGACAGGUAUGCAU